GUCGAACGCUGAAGCCGACAGCUUGCUGUUGGUGGAUGAGUGGCGAACGGGUGAGUAACACGUGAGUAACCUGCCCCUGAUUUCGGGAUAAGCCUGGGAAACUGGGUCUAAUACCGGAUACGACCAACCCUCGCAUGAGGGUUGGUGGAAAGUUUUUCGAUCGGGGAUGGGCUCGCGGCCUAUCAGCUUGUUGGUGGGGUAAUGGCCCACCAAGGCGACGACGGGUAGCCGGCCUGAGAGGGCGACCGGCCACACUGGGACUGAGACACGGCCCAGACUCCUACGGGAGGCAGCAGUGGGGAAUAUUGCACAAUGGGGGAAACCCUGAUGCAGCGACGCAGCGUGCGGGAUGACGGCCUUCGGGUUGUAAACCGCUUUCAGCAGGGAAGAAGCGAAAGUGACGGUACCUGCAGAAGAAGUACCGGCUAACUACGUGCCAGCAGCCGCGGUAAUACGUAGGGUACGAGCGUUGUCCGGAAUUAUUGGGCGUAAAGAGCUCGUAGGUGGUUGGUCACGUCUGCUGUGGAAACGCAACGCUUAACGUUGCGCGUGCAGUGGGUACGGGCUGACUAGAGUGCAGUAGGGGAGUCUGGAAUUCCUGGUGUAGCGGUGAAAUGCGCAGAUAUCAGGAGGAACACCGGUGGCGAAGGCGGGACUCUGGGCUGUAACUGACACUGAGGAGCGAAAGCAUGGGGAGCGAACAGGAUUAGAUACCCUGGUAGUCCAUGCCGUAAACGUUGGGCACUAGGUGUGGGGGACAUUCCACGUUCUCCGCGCC
This 778-nucleotide ribosomal RNA is filed under the name Brevibacterium sediminis. Its description in RNAcentral is "bacterial SSU rRNA". It matches the Rfam family "Bacterial small subunit ribosomal RNA", at positions 61 to 847 of the family's 1533-position model. Lineage: Bacteria; Bacillati; Actinomycetota; Actinomycetes; Micrococcales; Brevibacteriaceae. The record is from RNAcentral.